AUGGCAUUACUAGAAGCUGCAUGUGUGAAUCUUAGCGUUGAAUGCAAAGAUGUCUGUUUGAAUUAUGACUCUGGUGUUUUCUGCGGAGCUAAUGAUAAUACAUGUAAGAAUUGUGUUCCUGUUAGCGACGAUUGCAGCAGCGAUUGUGUGCUUCUGGGUGGUAUCUCAAGUGCUAAACACCUCAAGUUGAUAUCUGAUACUGGAAAGUUCAUUUUCACAAGAGAUUUGAAACAUUGCCCUACAUUUAGCAAGUUAAAGACUUUAUUACUCAACAAUUACUGGUGCGAGGCUCCUGAUUUGGAUCCACUAUCUUGCAUUCUGACAAACUCACCAGUUCUUGAGAAGCUCACUCUUGAACUUUCUCCCGAGGCGCAAAAUCCUAAACUGGAGAUAAAAGGAAGCUACUGUUGCAUGGAGAGACCGUCUGCAAUAUCAGAGCACCUCGACAUAGUUGAAGUCAAGUGUGAUGUGAUCGAUGAGAUAAUUCUUAAAGUUUUGAAGUUCUUGUGUGCAUUUAACAUACGAUUCAGUUUCGAGUAA
This 540-nucleotide ribosomal RNA is filed under the name Triticum aestivum (bread wheat). RNAcentral's name for it is "partial small subunit ribosomal RNA". The record is from RNAcentral. Lineage: Eukaryota; Viridiplantae; Streptophyta; Magnoliopsida; Poales; Poaceae.